UAGGGAAUCUUCCACAAUGGGCGAAAGCCUGAUGGAGCAACGCCGCGUGUGUGAUGAAGGGUUUCGGCUCGUAAAACACUGUUGUAAGAGAAGAAUGACAUUGAGAGUAACUGUUCAAUGUGUGACGGUAUCUUACCAGAAAGGAACGGCUAAAUACGUGCCAGC
RNAcentral lists this ribosomal RNA (165 nucleotides) under uncultured bacterium. RNAcentral describes it as "partial 16S ribosomal RNA". It matches the Rfam family "Bacterial small subunit ribosomal RNA", at positions 355 to 512 of the family's 1533-position model. The record is from RNAcentral.